GUUAUUUUAAGCUGUAUUUGUAUGAGUGAAUGUUUAUAUCGGAGUUCAGGUGGACUUAUUUAAACUGCAUGUAUGUAGAUAAAAACACUGUCAGAUUAAAAUGUAAAUCAAACUGAUUCAGUACAAGUAUGUACUUAAACGUGCUAUACAAUAUUUCGGUCAUGAUAUCUUAAAUCAUCAUACCGGUCAUUGAACUACAUGUUUUGUGUUCAUACGUAAGGAUUGCGGGAAACUUAACAAGUGCGUUCAAGAAUUUAAAAUUUUUAAGAAUUAUUGUUUUGUUAUAUAGAAUGCAACCGCGAAACUGAUGACUGAAUUUUAAAACGUCAGAGACAGUAACACCCAUAGUAAAAUGCUAUGCUGCACGAAUCCUCUCCUGUGCUGUAUUCAUGAGGAAUAUUAUGAGUGUCACAAUGUGUAAUUAUAGUACGAUAAUCAAAAUAUGGCCAAAGUUCACAACUCCCUUAAAAAAGGUCAUAUCUAAAACGAUAGAAUAUUAUUAAUAUGGUCAACUGUAUAUGAUUGGGGAAAUCAUACCAAGUAUAAAAAAGUUGCGUUCUUAAGAUGUGUGAUACGACUGUCAUACAAGUGAGAGGUUUAGCUAGCUAUAAAACCAGGUUCAAUCCACCAUUUUCUACAUUUGAAAAUGCCUGUACCAGGUCAGGAAUAUGACAGUUCUUGUCCAUUCGUUUUUUAUGCGUUUUGUAAUUUGAUUUUGCUAUGUGAUUAUGGACUUUCCGAAUUGAUUUUCCUCUGAGUUCAGUAUUUUUGUGAUUUUACAUUUUAUAAUACCCAAAUAAAAAGUCAAAAUCCCAUGAUUCCCCUAAUAAUGAGCAAAUCAAAAUGGCGGUAUAAUUUGUUCAACCACACGCAAAAAAAAAGUGUUUUGUCACAAUACUAAAAAAAAACCUCAUUAAAGUCCCAUAACUCUUAUUCAAAUGGUCUGAUCAACUGACGGCAACCAAUCGUAAUAAGUAUGAGACUUUGCUGUAAAAACGGAGGAUUUGUGGUCGAUGAUAAGGUGUCAUGUUACAAUACUGUGGUCAAAAUGUCAUAAUAUCAAAUCACUGUCCGGGUCGCUCACCUGCAUCUUCAACAAUAGUCAUUUGUUUUGUUAAAAAUCAUCACGAAAAGGC
RNAcentral lists this long non-coding RNA (1136 nucleotides) under Mytilus galloprovincialis (Mediterranean mussel). The record is from RNAcentral. Lineage: Eukaryota; Metazoa; Mollusca; Bivalvia; Mytilida; Mytilidae.